RNAcentral lists this long non-coding RNA (229 nucleotides) under Elaeis guineensis (African oil palm). RNAcentral's name for it is "long non-coding RNA (EGUI_LNC043006)". Lineage: Eukaryota; Viridiplantae; Streptophyta; Magnoliopsida; Arecales; Arecaceae. The record is from RNAcentral.
GACCCAAGCAAAGGUAGGCAAGAAAAGAAGGUAGAUAAACAUCAAGAAGAGAUUGUUCUUUUCCAAUAUGGGACUAAACUUAUAACUAAACUUUUAGGAAACUUCAGAGGGAAGGGAGAUUUUGAGUUUUCCUCCACCUCCCUAACAAUUAUAGUGCAAAAGCAGUCUAAUGCAUCAGGUGUUGUGGCCUUUUUUCUUGAUCUCUAGUAAUUUCACAUCUCUGCCACUG